This 905-nucleotide ribosomal RNA is filed under the name uncultured bacterium. RNAcentral describes it as "bacterial SSU rRNA". It matches the Rfam family "Bacterial small subunit ribosomal RNA", at positions 50 to 958 of the family's 1533-position model. The record is from RNAcentral.
ACCAUGCAGUCGAGCGGCAGCACAGAGGACCUUGCUCCUUGGGUGGCGAGUGGGGGAGGGGUGAGGAAUACGUCUGACUCUACUUUGUCGUGGGGGAUAACGUAGGGAAGCUUACGCUAAUACCGCAAACGACCUAAAGGUGAAAGCUCGGGACCUUCGGGCCUUGCCCGAUUGAAUGAGCCGAUGUCGGAUUAUCUAGUUGGCGGGGUAAAGGCCCACCAGGGCGACUAUCCGUAGCUGGUCUGAGAAGAUGAUCAGCCGCACUGGAACUGAGACACGGUCCAGACUCCUACAGGAGGCAGCGAUGGGGAAUAUUGGACAAUGGGCGCAAGCCUGAUCCACCCAUAGCGCGUGGGUGAAGAAGGGCUUCGGGUUGUAAAGCCCUUUUGUUGGGAAAGAAAUCCAGCUGGCUUAUACCCGGUUGGGAUGACGGUCCCCAAAGAAUAAGCACCGGCUAACUUCGUGCCCUCCGCCGCGGUAAUAGGAGGGGUGCAUACGUUACUCGGAAUUACUGGACGUAAAGCGUGCGUAGGUGGUCGUUGAAGUCCGUUGUGACAGCCCUGGGCUCAACCUGGGAACUGCAGUGGAUACUGGGCGACUAGAGUGUGGUAAGGGUAACGGAGUUCCUGGUGUCCAGUGAAAUGCGUAAAUCAUGAGAACAUCCGUAGGCGAAGCGCUACCUGGACCAACACUGACACUGAGCACGAAAGCGUGGGAGCAACAGGAUUAAUACCCUGGUAUCCACGCCCUAACGAUGCAACUGGAUGUUCGGGUGCGAUUUGGCACGCAGUAUCUAAGCUAACGCGUUAAGUCGCGCCUGGGGAGUACGGUCGCAGAGCUGAAACUGCAGAGGAAUUGAACGAGUGCCAGCACAGCCGCUGGAGUAUGUGGUUUAAUUCGAUGCA